RNAcentral lists this long non-coding RNA (1675 nucleotides) under Gossypium barbadense (sea-island cotton). RNAcentral describes it as "long non-coding RNA (GBAR_LNC015207)". The record is from RNAcentral. Lineage: Eukaryota; Viridiplantae; Streptophyta; Magnoliopsida; Malvales; Malvaceae.
AGUAAGAAAUGUAUAUAAGUAUGUAUAUCUAUAAAUUAUAAAAAAAAUAUGUACGUGUAUGUGUAUUAAAAGAACAUGUAUGUAUAUAUAAUGACUUAAAUCAAGUAGUACAAAUAAUAAGAAAAAUAUUAGGUAAAUAAAAUAUACAUAUAUAUAUGUACAUAUAUAUAUAACUUAGAAUAAAUAUUAAGGAACUCCCCUUUUAUUUUUUUAAAAAAAAAUAAAUUAAAUGAAUUAAAGGAUGAAAAUAAAAUCAAACCAAAAUCUGGGGUUCCAAACUGUAAAAUAAAUAAAAAGAUCGUCAGGGACCAAAAUAGGAUGCGUUGGGAAGAAAGAAGGACUGACUGCGCAAUAUCCCCGUCUCUUAUGCGCUUCGUUUUGACAUGGGCCAGAACGAAAUAAGAAACAAAUUACGCAGAUAAAUUAAAAAGGAAAGAAAGUAAGAAAAACGGACUGGAUUAAAAGAACAAAAAAUGAAGAGGGACUAUCUACACAAAUAACCCCAAAGAACCAAACAUGCAGAUUCCCCCCCCAAAAACGACGUCGUUUUGCGUCUAGGGUGGGUUCCAACACACUGCCGUUUCAGCUCUCCACUUAAACCCUCCUUUUAUUUUUUGUUCAUUUAUUCCCCCCUAUUAAGAAAAAUCUACAGAAACCUCUCAAAACCUCCCCAUGCCUUCCGACGGUUGAGUUUCACACCGCCGUUUAUCCGUCCAUCGUACCGCCACUAUACCGGCGGCCAACGAAGCGACAAAGGGGCUUUCAGAGCCUAGCCUUCGGGCGAUUUGAAAAGCCGGGUCUUUGAACACCCACGAGCGCCGAGACUGAGGCUCGUAGCUCCCCCCUUUCAGAUCCGGGCCAGCGAUGGAGAACCACACACCGACGGCGCAGUUGUGAGGUAUCUCCGGUAAGCCCUUUUUCUCUACUUUGUUUUCGUUAAAAAAUAUGUAUAUAUAAAAUAGAGUAAAACAAAAUAAAAUAACAGGUCUAGAGAAGAAAAAACUUAGUUUUCUUUUUAUUUCUAAAGUUUGUUAAAUUGCCCCAGAGCCCCCAUUACAAUGCUUUUGUUCAGCCUAUAUAGCAAACUUUUACCACCCCUAAACUUCUAUUUUUGUCGUUUUAUGCUUUGGAUCCUUGUACUGUUGCGUGUGGCUUCGUUUUGCAGGUGUCAGAGGCGUGGAGGAAUGUCAGACGCGUGGGGCGUGGUGGCCAAGGCUGAGGGGCAUGGUGGCCGACAUGGUGGCGGAUGAGGAGCGUGGCAGACGAGGGGGGCCACGCAUGGAAGCUUGCGACGGCUAGCUUGGGGAAGCAAACUAAGGUUCGCUGAAAAUGGGGUUAAUCUUGGGCUAGGGUUAUGUUUGUUUUGGGUUUAGGGUUAAUUUUGGGUAGUUUGGGCCAUAUGAAAUUUGGGCUGCAAUUUAGACUUUAUUUCAUGUAUUUGGUUUAUGUUUUAUUUUUAUUUCGUUUUUUGUUUUGGCUCUGGGCCCGGGCAAAAUGGGCUCGUACAGCAUAUAUUAAUAAGUGUAUAUAUAUAUAUAUGAUGUUGAAAUAAUUUUAUGAAUCACAUAUAUAUUCGUAAUUAAUAUGCUAAUAAAUAAAUCAUUAGAAUCAAUAUGUAACUGGUAAGAAAAAAAGAUAUUUUUUUAUUUUAAUUAGACUUAAAUUUUAUACGAGA